This 66-nucleotide transfer RNA is filed under the name Parantropora penelope. RNAcentral's name for it is "tRNA-Gly". The record is from RNAcentral. Lineage: Eukaryota; Metazoa; Bryozoa; Gymnolaemata; Cheilostomatida; Antroporidae.
AUCUUAUAAGUACUUUAGGUAUGUUUGCCUUCCAAGCAAAAGGUUUAGUGAAAACUAAAUAGGAUA